This 72-nucleotide transfer RNA is filed under the name Abditibacteriaceae bacterium. Its description in RNAcentral is "Abitibacteriaceae bacterium (rhizosphere metagenome) tRNA-Thr". It matches the Rfam family "tRNA". Rfam says of the family: Transfer RNA (tRNA) molecules are approximately 80 nucleotides in length. Their secondary structure includes four short double-helical elements and three loops (D, anti-codon, and T loops). Lineage: Bacteria; Pseudomonadati; Abditibacteriota; Abditibacteriia; Abditibacteriales; Abditibacteriaceae. The record is from RNAcentral.
GCCUCUGUAGCUCAGUGGUAGAGCGCCUCCUUGGUAAGGAUGAGGUCGCGGGUCCGAUUCCCGCCAGAGGCU